UACGAGUGCCUCAAGCGUUAUCCGGAAUCAUUGGGCGUAAAGGUUGUGUAGGUGGUCAUAUUAGUCUUCUGUUAAAUUCUUCGGCUUAACCGGGGGCAUGCAGAGGAAACGGUAUGACUAGAGGAUGCGAGGGGUCUGCGGAACUCAUAGUGUAGCGGUGAAAUGCGUUGAUAUUAUGGGGAACACCAAAAGCGAAGGCAGCAGACUGGAGCACUCCUGACACUGAAACAAGAAAGCGUGGGUCGCGAAUGGG
Molecule: ribosomal RNA, 253 nt
Filed under: uncultured bacterium
Lineage: Bacteria
Description: partial 16S ribosomal RNA
Rfam family: Bacterial small subunit ribosomal RNA
Source: RNAcentral